AUUGAACGCUGGCGGCAGGCUUAACACAUGCAAGUCGAACGGAACCUUCGGGUUUAGUGGCGAACGGGUGAGUAAUACCUAGGAAUCUGCCUAUUAGUGGGGGAUAACGGCUCGAAAGGGUCGCUAAUACCGCAUACGUCCUACGGGAGAAAGAGGGGGAUCUUCGGACCUCUUGCUAAUAGAUGAGCCUAGGGCCGGAUUAGCUAGUUGGUAGGGUAAAGGCCUACCAAGGCGACGAUCCGUAGCUGGUCUGAGAGGGAUGAUCAGCCACACUGGAACUGAGACACGGUCCAGACUCCUACGGGAGGCAGCAGUGGGGAAUAUUGGACAAUGGGGGCAACCCUGAUCCAGCCAUGCCGCGUGUGUGAAGAA
This 372-nucleotide ribosomal RNA is filed under the name uncultured bacterium. Its description in RNAcentral is "bacterial SSU rRNA". It matches the Rfam family "Bacterial small subunit ribosomal RNA", at positions 30 to 412 of the family's 1533-position model. The record is from RNAcentral.